RNAcentral lists this ribosomal RNA (251 nucleotides) under uncultured bacterium. Its description in RNAcentral is "partial 16S ribosomal RNA". It matches the Rfam family "Bacterial small subunit ribosomal RNA", at positions 82 to 334 of the family's 1533-position model. The record is from RNAcentral.
CCAAAGCUGGCGACCGGCGCACGGGUGAGUAACACGUAUCCAACCUGCCUCAUACUCGGGGAUAGCCUUUCGAAAGAAAGAUUAAUACCCGAUGGCAUAAUUAGACCGCGUGGUCUUAUUAUUAAAGAAUUUCGGUUAUCGAUGGGGAUGCGUUCCAUUAGGCAGUUGGUGAGGUAACGGCUCACCAAACCUUCGAUGGAUAGGGGUUCUGAGAGGAAGGUCCCCCACAUUGGAACUGAGACACGGUCCAA